Sphaeramia orbicularis (orbiculate cardinalfish) is the source of this 153-nucleotide long non-coding RNA. RefSeq lists it as uncharacterized. NCBI's taxonomy places the organism in Eukaryota, Metazoa, Chordata, Actinopteri, Kurtiformes, Apogonidae. The transcript has 3 exons. The record is from RefSeq and is a predicted model, not a curated record.
UUUCAGUUUAGGCCUUCAAUACAAUAUGGAGGUAUACCGAAUGAAUACAUGUAACCUAUGUGAAGAAUGCAAACACUCACCUUAAGUUUCCACAUGAACCUUGAAGUGGAACGCACACAGUAUGAACAGGGUGUAACCCGUGUGCAAGAUAUG